This 266-nucleotide ribosomal RNA is filed under the name uncultured bacterium. RNAcentral's name for it is "partial 16S ribosomal RNA". It matches the Rfam family "Bacterial small subunit ribosomal RNA", at positions 335 to 618 of the family's 1533-position model. The record is from RNAcentral.
UGCCUACGGGAGGCAGCAGUGGGGGAUAUUGCACAAUGGGGGGAACCCUGAUGCAGCGACGCCGCGUGGGUGAAGGAGUGCUUCGGCAUGUAAAGCCCUAUCGGCAGGGAAGAAGCAAGACGGUACCUGACUAAGAAGCCCCGGCUAACUACGUGCCAGCAGCCGCGGUAAUACGUAGGGGGCGAGCGUUAUCCGGAUUCACUGGGUGUAAAGGGAGCGUAGACGGCAUGGCAAGUCUGGAGUGAAAGCCCGGGGCCCAACCCCGG